GGGGCUGUAGCUCAGUUUGGGAGAGCGCGACAUUCGCAUUGUCGAGGCCGUCGGUUCGAGCCCGAUCAGCUCCA
This 74-nucleotide transfer RNA is filed under the name Candidatus Rifleibacteriota bacterium. RNAcentral describes it as "tRNA-Ala". It matches the Rfam family "tRNA". From Rfam's summary of the family: Transfer RNA (tRNA) molecules are approximately 80 nucleotides in length. Their secondary structure includes four short double-helical elements and three loops (D, anti-codon, and T loops). The record is from RNAcentral. Lineage: Bacteria; Candidatus Rifleibacteriota.